Molecule: ribosomal RNA, 903 nt
Filed under: Triticum aestivum (bread wheat)
Lineage: Eukaryota; Viridiplantae; Streptophyta; Magnoliopsida; Poales; Poaceae
Description: partial small subunit ribosomal RNA
Source: RNAcentral
AUGCUCCCAUACGCGACGGCGGGCGAGGCGGAGGCGGCGCUGGGGCGCGCUAUGACUUGGGCGGAGGCGGCGUGUUUCCGGUACUCUGUGGCGACGCCGGACUACUACCUCUACUGCCACCACAUCGUCAUCUUCCUCGUCGUCUACACGCUGGCUCUGCUCCCACUCGCGGUGCUCCAGCUCCGGGCCCCCGCCAUCUUGUUGCCGUACAAGCUGCAGCCAGUGCAUCUCAAGCCGGCAGCCUUCCUCCGCUGCUACGUCCGCACCGUCCGCGUGUUCCUCCUCGCCAUGGGCCCCAUCCAGCUGCUCUCAUACCCUGCCGUUAAGAUGGUGGGGAUAAGGACGGGGCUGCCGCUGCCGUCGGCGGGAGAGACGGCGGCGCAAAUGGCGGUGUAUUUGCUAUUGGAGGACUACCUUGGCUACUGGGUACACCGGCUGCUGCACACCAAGUGGGGAUACGAGAAGAUUCACCAUGUCCACCAUGAGUUCACGGCGCCCGUCGGCUACGUCGGCCUGUAUGCACACUGGUCCGACGUGCUCAUCAUUGGCUUCCCCGCUUUCGUCGGCCCGGCUGUUGUGCCCUGCCACAUGACCACCUUAUGGCUUUGGUUCGUGAUACGCCAGCUAGCGCUCAUAGAUGCUCACGACGGAUUCGACUUCCCACUCAAUCCGGCAAACUUCAUCCCGUUCUAUGGAGGAGCACCACACCAUGACUACCAUCACCGUGUAGGACGGAAGAGCCAGAGCAAUUUCGCUUCUGUUUUCACCUUCUGCGACUAUAUAUACGGGACGGAUAAACACUUCACUGACCAUAAGGCAAGCCUAGCAAAGCUGAAGGAGAUGGCACAAAACAGUACCGAGAAAAGAGAGACGAUGAAUUUUAUCGGCGGGAAGCAGGCAUAG